RNAcentral lists this ribosomal RNA (253 nucleotides) under uncultured bacterium. RNAcentral describes it as "partial 16S ribosomal RNA". It matches the Rfam family "Bacterial small subunit ribosomal RNA", at positions 524 to 776 of the family's 1533-position model. The record is from RNAcentral.
UACGUAGGUGGCAAGCGUUGUCCGGAUUUACUGGGCGUAAAGAGCGCGCAGGCGGUCGUUCAAGUCGCGUGUGAAAGCCCCCGGCUCAACUGGGGAGGGUCACGCGAUACUGAUCGACUCGAAGGCAGGAGAGGGAAGUGGAAUUCCCGGUGUAGUGGUGAAAUGCGUAGAUAUCGGGAGGAACACCAGUGGCGAAGGCGACUUCCUGGCCUGUUCUUGACGCUGAGGCGCGAAGGCGUGGGGAGCGAACGGG